This 92-nucleotide transfer RNA is filed under the name Candidatus Paracaedimonas acanthamoebae. Its description in RNAcentral is "tRNA-Ser (GCT) (tRNA-Ser-GCT-1-1)". It matches the Rfam family "tRNA". From Rfam's summary of the family: Transfer RNA (tRNA) molecules are approximately 80 nucleotides in length. Lineage: Bacteria; Pseudomonadati; Pseudomonadota; Alphaproteobacteria; Holosporales; Caedimonadaceae. The record is from RNAcentral. RNAcentral also lists the same sequence under 1 other name.
GGAGGGGUGGCCGAGAGGCUGAAGGCGGCGGUUUGCUAAACCGUUAUACGGGUAAUUCCGUAUCGUGGGUUCGAAUCCCAUCCCCUCCGCCA